RNAcentral lists this ribosomal RNA (489 nucleotides) under uncultured bacterium. RNAcentral's name for it is "partial 16S ribosomal RNA". It matches the Rfam family "Bacterial small subunit ribosomal RNA", at positions 355 to 836 of the family's 1533-position model. The record is from RNAcentral.
UGGGGAAUUUUGGACAAUGGGCGAAAGCCUGAUCCAGCAAUGCCGCGUGUGUGAAGAAGGCCUUCGGGUUGUAAAGCACUUUUGUCCGGAAAGAAAUCCUUGGCUCUAAUACAGUCGGGGGAUGACGGUACCGGAAGAAUAAGCACCGGCUAACUACGUGCCAGCAGCCGCGGUAAUACGUAGGGUGCAAGCGUUAAUCGGAAUUACUGGGCGUAAAGCGUGCGCAGGCGGUUUGCUAAGACCGAUGUGAAAUCCCCGGGCUCAACCUGGGAACUGCAUUGGUGACUGGCAGGCUAGAGUAUGGCAGAGGGGGGUAAAUUCCACGUGUAGCAGUGAAAUGCGUAGAGAUGUGGAGGAAUACCGAUGGCGAAGGCAGCCCCCUGGGCCAAGUACUGACGCUCAUGCACGAAAGCGUGGGGAGCAAACAGGAUUAGAUACCCUGGUAGUCCACGCCCUAAACGAUGUCAACUAGUUGUUGGGGAUUCAUUU